Long non-coding RNA from Lontra canadensis (Northern American river otter), 260 nucleotides. RefSeq lists it as uncharacterized. The record is from RefSeq and is a predicted model, not a curated record. The transcript is spliced from 3 exons. NCBI's taxonomy places the organism in Eukaryota, Metazoa, Chordata, Mammalia, Carnivora, Mustelidae.
AUGUACUAAAGGUACUAUAGAAGGCACUGAGACAACUUUGAGAAAGGAAUGCCUUCUGACUGAGCAUGGAAUGGGGAAGAAGAGGUCUGAAUUGGGGCUGGGCAUGCUGUUUGUUUAAUGAAGAAAACUCUUUCAGGAAAAAUUAAAAAGAAAUACCAAAAUACCUGCACCUACAGGAAAUAAGCCGAGCAGAAAUCUUCCCAACCUCCCACUUGAUCUUCCAUAUUUAGAGUGCAUCAAAAGAAGAGAAAGAGAUUUGG